This 24354-nucleotide long non-coding RNA is filed under the name Malus domestica (apple). RNAcentral's name for it is "long non-coding RNA (MDOM_LNC010705)". The record is from RNAcentral. Lineage: Eukaryota; Viridiplantae; Streptophyta; Magnoliopsida; Rosales; Rosaceae.
UGUGCAGGUUCUGUGUCUAAUAUGGCCCAACGCCUAUUUGCUCGAACCCGCCAAGUUGAAUCAUUGGCGGCCGAAGUGAUGAGUCUCAAACAGGAGAUUAGAGGGCUCAAGCAUGAGAAUAAACAGUUGCACCGGCUCGCACAUGACUAUGCUACAAACAUGAAGAGGAAGCUUGACCAGAUGAAGGAAACUGAUGGUCAGGUUUUACUUGAUCAUCAGAGAUUUGUGGGUUUGUUCCAAAGGCAUUUAUUGCCUUCGUCUUCUGGGGCUGUACCGCGUAAUGAAGCUCCAAAUGAUCAACCUCUGAUGCCUCAUCCUUCUAGGGUUCUGUCCAGUACUGAGGCUCCGAAUGAUCCCCCUCCGAUGCCUUCUCUUUCUGGGGCUCUACCGACUGCUGAGACUUCUCCUAAGCAACCUUUGUGAAGGCUCCAUCUUGUUUGUUUAUUUUGACUCAUGUAUAUGUACAUAUUUGUAGCUUAUCGGGGAUAUCAAUAAAUAAGUUUUCCUUCAUUUCAACGUAUUGUGUUAAAUACACCAAAGCCUUCUUCGCUAAGUUCUUUGAAAUUCAUUAAUUGACUAAUUAACAUAAUUUGAAAGAAAUAAUUUGGGAGUUAUGGAAUAAUUAUCUAAUCAAUUAGCUAAUUAAUAGAAUAAUUACCUAAUUGAUUAGCUAAUCAAAUAUAAUAAAAUAGGGAAGAUUUGGGGAGUUACCUUGUGGAAAGGAUUGGAUGAGGAUGGAUGAUAUAGAUUUUGAAUUGUUUACCUAUUUUUUGGGCAUUUUUGACUUGGUUGAGUGAUGAUUGCAUGCUGCUUGCACGUAGGAAUCUCGGUAUGCCUCGAGGAUAAUUUUGUCUUUUUAUCCAAAAAUCCACGGUCGCCUUGUGAUUAUUUUUGGCUCCACAAAUGCCCUCACACCUAUUGGGCUACUCGUAGAAAAGGGCAGCAGGUGUAGAGAUCUUCUUGCUUGAGGAAACAUAAGAUUGUUUCCUAUUUUGAUGUUGAUUCCCUCUUUAAUAGGAAAUUAGAUCCUUCUAGGAAAGGGAAAUAAAUUUCUCUCAAAACCUAUUUAAGCCCACCUUAAGUGGGUUAUUAAAUCAACUUUGGAGAGCAAUUUAUUCUACCCUACAAGAGAGAGAUAGCUUAGAGGAUAUUUGUUCCCCCUCCUCUAGCAAUCUUCUACUUGCCCGUGCCAAUGGCAGCUUGCGCGGCUGGGGCCGCAGACUUAGGUGAUGGGGCCUAGUGCUAGUCAAGUCACAUGAUUCUUGUCAUUUGGGCUCUUGGUUCUGACGCGGGCUAGGCUGGCGAUUGAGAGAAAUGAAAAGGUCGCGGGCCUCAUGGGCUACUAGAAUGUUGGGCAUGCCUCUUGCCUGCUGGUCCGAGAGAAAAAAAAGAAGGGAAAAGCCGAUAUGGGUUGAGCUCCCCUGCUAAGUACCAUGAAUGAUGUUGGCUGCUUAGUUCUCUUCGCUGGGAGAAAUGUGGGCUGCUUUCGAGACAGAAGGUAAAAAGGAUCGAGGCGGAUGCAUUGGCUCGUCUGAACGCUGUCGUGGAGCCUAUUAUGAAUGAAGGUGGAAAAAAGAGAUCUUCCCGGCCUGCUUAAGAGAUGUUGGUUGAGAAAACUGAAGACUUCCUCCGCUGCUUGUGAGGGUCCGCUUAUUGGGAAGGAGGACACUGCUCGCGUAGACAGUUGUGAGAAAUCCACUAAGCCUGUUUCUGGGGAGGCUGCUGAGAUCUGUGUGCUCUUGAAACCAGAUGAUGCUUGUGCCAAGUUUGUUGAUGGCGUUUAGAAAGGUUUGUUUGCCCAAGUUCCUUUGCGAAGCAUACGACCCAAUGUAGAAUGACUUCUCUGCUUCCUAUGAUGCAAAUAUAGCAAGGUUGCUAAGGAGGUAGCGAGGAAUAUGGCAGCUGAAGCUUAUUCCUCUGCCGAUGAGAUUAAAAGGUUGGAUUCUGAGCUCGUUGCUUUGAAGGGGUCUAAUAUUUCUGCCCCUAUUUCUCUGCAGCUUGAGACCAUUCGCUAAGAUAUUGUUAUCUUGAAGACUAAGCUUGACGCGAUCCAAGUUAAGUAUGAAAGUGCAAAGAAGGAGAUUGUAUGUUACAUACCUCAUAUUCAAGAUUUUGAGUUUGCAGUUUUUGAGCUUCGUGUUGUUUAUGCAAAGGAUGAAGAGUUGAUUGCUUCUUAUAAUCAAGUGAUCCAUUUCAAGAGAAUUGUCGAUAGGCUUGAAGCCCAAGUGUUAGAACUUCAAGGUGUACUAAAGAUCAAUGAAAGUCUGAAGAAGGAAGUGAAUGAGUUGCAGCGCGUUCGUGUUGGUUUGCUCGAGGAGGAUGAACAGCUGAAGGGUGAGAAUGAUGGGCUUGAGGUUUCGAGACCUUCUCUAUUUCUUUGGAAGACUUGCUUGUUUUUACUUUUGAGGCUUCCAUUGGUGAAGUAGUUGGAGAAGUUGAUGCCUAGGUUGGGGCAGACGGGGGUGAAGCGCUGGAUGAUGCCACUGCUAAGAGCAUCGCAGUUGCUAAAGGUGUGGCGACCGAAUAGUGGUGGGAUGUCCAAGCUGCUGAAGUAUAGUCUUCUAGGUAGCCUUUAGGAUUUUCUUUGUUUUUCCUUGUAGCUCUUGUUUUGCUUGAACUUCUUCGGCCUUUGCUAGUUGUUUAUAAACAUGCUUCAUUUACUUUUCUUCAUCUUCACUUCUUUUGUUCAUGCCCUAACCUUUAGACUUUAUAGACUAGUGGUAGGCGUGCUAUUUUUCUAUAAGCAGACAGUCUCACGUAGCUUAUGCAGUCGUAGGUGUUGGUGUAGAACUUUGUAAAGUUAUUAGCCAUAGGGUUGGCAACCGGAUGCCUUACUUACAGAAGUAGACAAGUCCGCGUAACCACUUUAGGGUUUAACCUUGGCUUUCUCCAAUUCCGUAGGUUGCGUAGCAAGUAUCACAACACUUUAGGACUUGGUGUAAGUUGUUCUGCACUUGGCAGAGGUGAAACUUAUCAACUACGUAGCAUGUCGGCAGUGGAUAAAGCUUCAUAUAUGCAUGCUAGCUUGUUUAACCUUUCACAAGAAUGUGCGGUUGUAUAAGUCUAGUGUGGUUUUACUGCUCAAAGGGCAAGCCGUAGGCAGUUUUCUGGAAACCAUAAGCUACUUUAAUGCACUCGGUAGCAGCUUUAGGGUUCCAGGGCAGCCGUCUGUAGGGCGUACUGCUUAAUGUGCUCCCUCCGUCUUUAGGGCCCGGCUCACAGUGGAUUAGGCCAAGAGACCCAAAAUCCUUUAGUUAGCUAAACCUUGAAAAAGAACAUUGGGGCUACUUCUAAGGAUCCCAGCACAAGCCAUCGUGCAUCUAGUUAUACUAGGGCAACCAUGCUCAUACACGUCUAGAUAUUUGGAGUGUAGAAUUUAUCCUCUCGUCUUGGAGAGCUGACCCAUGUGGGUGUCAGGAAAUUGAUUUACCCUCUCGCACUGGAGAGCAAUUAGUUUACCCUCUCGCACUGGAGAGCAUGGUUGGUCCCUUGGGGGCGCAAUGUUUGUGAUGAGUCCCUAAGAAGGCCGCGGUCUUUUUUUGAAGUGCAUGAGUGAUCAGUUGUUGUAAGUAUGCAUCUGAGCCAAGUUGUGAUUACUUCUGAAUUCCUCAUUGAAAAAUGAGUGAAAUGAACGAGAAUUUAGCUAUAAGGUAGGAACUGGAUAACAACUAGAUAGUCCUCGGCUUGUGAGGUGGUGCCCAUCGAGCUGCUUAAGUCUUCGGGCUUUGAUGUAGCGGGAGGUCACACAUGGUACUUCCUCAGAUUGUAGGUGCUCAUCUGUUUUUCUAUCUUUUUAUUGUUUCAUUGUGGUGAGGGUGUAAUUACUUUUGCUGCCUACUUUGUUGAUCUUGUAUGGACCUUCCCAGAUAGGAUCCAUCUUUUUGGAGCCUUCUCUACGGGCAGUGAUAAAGGCUUUUCUUAGGACUAAAUCUUCGAGCUAAAGCUACGGGAUCUUUGCCCUAUUGUUGUAGCUGGAAAGGAGCUAGGCUGCGAUGCAGGUGAUGGUUUGCUCGCGCUUUUCCUCUGCCAGAUCUAAGCUUGUAGCCAUCUCCUUACUAUUAUUCUCAAUGCUUGGUAGUAGAGCGGUGAUACUUGGCUUGAUGACAUUAGGACGAAUGAUUGCUUCUGAGCCAAAUGCCAAAGAGAAAUGAGUCUCACCGGUUGCUCAUCUUUUGGUGGUGCGAUAUGCCCAUAAACAUUCGGGGAGUUCGUCUGGCCAUUUUCCCUUCUUAUUGGUGAGGGAUUUCUUGAGGCAAUCGAGGAUCCUCUUGUUGGAUGCUUCGGCCCGCCUACUGCCUUGAGGAUAUCUUGGCAUGGACAUGUGCUACUUGAUGCCAUACUUUUGUAAGAACUUCGCCACAUCUUAGCCCACGAAUUGCGGGCCGUUGUUAGUGACGAUGGUCUGAGGGAUGCCAAAUCGGCAAAUAAUGUUCCUCCAUAUGAAGUGCUCAAUGUCUGUCUGAGUCGUGGUCGUCUUGGGCUCUGCUUAUACCCAUUUGGUGAAGUAAUCGGUUACCAUGAUCAUCAUGCCUCUGCCCCCAGUAGCAGGCGGCAUAGGUUUUACCAAGUUGAUUGCUUACUACAUGAAUGGCUAAGGAUUCGUCUACAGGUAUAGCUCGUUGGCAAACAGUGAUGGUACAGGCUUGUAGCGUUGGCAACGGUUGCACUUAUGUACUAACGUCUUAGCAUCUCGGUGCAUGGUAGGCCAGUAGUAGCCUGCGUUAAAAGCCUUAUGUGCUAAGGAUCAACCUCUGGAGUGAUUUCCACAAACGCCUUCUUGGAUUGAGCUUAGAACCUUCAAGUCAUAGGGAGGCGCUAGGCAGCGGAGAUGUGGUAUGGUAUAAGAUUUUCAGAUGAGAAUGUCAUUCCACAUGUAGUAGUGUGCUGCCUUGAUUUGGAGCUUCCUAGACUCUAAUCUUUUCGUGGGGAAUAUGCCAUUGACUAGGUAGUCUACAAUGGAAUCUUGUCCGUUUGGAGUUGUACUAACCUGUGACACCUCGGUUGCUGGCUUCGCUUUUAUGCUUGGCUCACCUAGAUACUCCACCGGAAUAGAGCGUUUGAGUAGUUAGUGGUCGAGGGUGGAGCCUAGGCCGGCUAGUGCGUCCACGUGAGCGUUGUCUGCAUGUGGAACUUGAGUGAUGGUGUAAGUUUGAAAUGCCUCAAGCAGUCUGGCUAGUGAUUAGCUGGGAAUCAGAAUGAAUUGUGAGCUUUUUCACCGCCAAGUCUUUUGCCAUUCGGAGGCCUGCUAGUAAGGUCUCGUAUUCUGCUUCGUUGUUGGAUGCUUUGAAGCCUAGAGUGAUCGCCUGCUCAGGCAUCGAACCGUUUGGGUGACAAGGACUACGCCUGCUCUCGAACCUUUGUAGUUGGAUGCGCUGUGGACAUGCAAAUGCUAGAAGUCUCCAUUGGGUGGAGCAGAUGCGGCUAGGGUGUGCUCGACUACCUCCAGGGCGUUGUUGGGCCUCUCUGUUGUGUCAUUAAUGCGUGGUAGGGAGCUAUGAAGCUGGGGCCAUGUUACACACAGUAGGAGAUGCUCAACUGCUGGUAUUGGGCCACUCUAGAAUUGAAUUAUGAAGUAAGGGUCGACUGAGGCCGUGUGACAUGUAGCAGGAAAUAGUGCUCAACUGCCGGUACAUAUUGCUCCUAUGUAGAAUCUUUUGGGGUGACAAUGACAAAACUUACUUCCGAGUAUGUCCUUCUAGUGUUCGUCUACCCUUAACAUGUCUUUUAGGCCGAGUUGUUGCGUUUGCCAGAAAACUUUGCAUCUGCCAGGGUCUACGCUUUUAUCAUCGUGUGUCUGGAUUGGGCAGAAUAGUACGCCAUGAGAAUGAGUGCAUGCGUUUGAAGGUAAAACUUAAGCUUCCAGGUUGUAACAACUAUCGCAAAAGUUAACUUUUGAAUUUCUGAUAGCAUCGAGUAGAGCUUUUGAACUGUGGAACACAGGUAGUCGGGCCCCCAACUCUUCUCGCAUGAUGGUAGAGCUUAUUGCUGCUUUAGAUACCGUUAAACAUGCAAAUAAGUCAUCCGCUGCUUUUAGUUUGGAUAGUAGGGAGGUGAUGUCGGGUACUUCUUCAAGUCAUUGAAUGUGCAUUGGCGAGCCUCGUCCCAAAGUGCAUGCUUCUCUGCCAGAGCGAAAGAGUCUGCCAGAGUUAUAGUUUCUUUCAUGAUUAAUUUUUCGAAUAACGGGUGGUCUGCUGGAAGUCUUUUUUGAAAGGAUGCUCUAGCUAUUGAGUCGUUGCAUCCGACUAUCCUUGCCUUCUCUGUUUUGAAACUCUUCAUAUAGUAGCGAAGCGACUCAUUUGGGUUUUUCUUGAUGUUGAACAAAUGGUCGAACUUCUUUUUUAUCAAGCGAUAAGAUGAAUAUUCUUUCGUGAAAACUAAAGAAUGUUCAUCGAAACUCCGGAUGGAUUGUGACGGCAGGGGUGUAGAACCAAUCUUGCGCCUCGCCUUGUAGAGUGGUGGUGAAUAUCUUGCUCAUGAGAUCGUCGUUGUUUUGAUAGAGGAUCAUUACUCUUCGGUAGUGCUUUAAGUGUCUUUACGGGUCUUCAUCCCCUUUGAAAGAUGUGAAAUAUGGCAUGCUGAACUCGCGUGAAGGCUCUACCUGCUCGAUCUCGUCUGUGAAGGGUGACCUGUUUAUGUUGGCCAUGUUCAUUCGUAGUGCCUCGUCGGUGACUUUGUUACGUUGGAAAUUAUGCAAUCGUUUGGUUAAGAGUAUUUAUACUUCUUCAUGAAUUUACCUUUGUUGGGGUAGCGGAGCUCUUGGCUGCCUCCAGUCGUGACUUGCUAGUCUAAGUUGCUAUUCCAUGUGUUUUACUCGUCUAUGCUGCAGAUGCGGUGCUUGUGGUGUGUUCCUAGCAGGCGAGCGAGUUCUUAGCAAGCUGCUGGUUGAACUUGGGCUGGAUUGAGCGAUUACUUCUCUCCGUCCGUCGUGUUACCUACUUCGAUGUGAGGUGGAUGAUGCUCCUUGCGAGCUUAGCCACGAAUGAACAUUUCACCUCGAAGGUUGCUCAUGUUGACUAUCAGAGUGUGACUCUAUCAGUGAAUGUAUGCUCGUCUGUGGGCCUUGUCAAGAGUGCACGCUCAUCCAGAAGCUAAGACGGGAGUAUAUGCUAUCUCGUGGGCCUAAUCGGGAGUGUACACUGCCUAAACGCUUAGUUCGUGGCUGGUCGAGUGGCUGCUUGUCGGGACACUGCUGGAGAGAUUCUUUGUCUGCCCUUGUCCUACUUCCGGCCACCUCGUCUGGGGCACGUUGCAUCUCGAUGCGCUGCAAGAGCUAGUUCACCAAGGUCGUCCGCUGUGCGAGGGCACUCGUCAACUCUAUGACUUGUCGAGACAAGUGUUAUUCUCCAUUUGGGUUGGAAUAACUUGGAAGGAAUGCGUCUCCUUGAGCAGUGGAAGUGUGGUAGACUCUGGGAGCGAGAUUUGAGUUGGGAAAUGUCAAAUCUGUAGAAAAAAUAUGGUGAAAAUGCUCCUAGUAUGAUCGUUGGUUCGAAAAUUUAGAGCCGGUACCGUUGAACUAAUCUUGGAUCGAUUUGGGCUGCUUGGAAGGCCACGGGAGCAGACUAGGCUGCGGGAGCAGGUUGGGCCACGAGAGUAGGCUGCUUGGCGGGAGCAGGCUGGGCCACAGAAGUGGGUUGCUCGGCAUGUGGCGCAUAUGGGUGCAAGGCUAGGGCUAGGCUUGGCAACGCGUUGGGCUUGGAGUGACAUGGCUUGGGCCAUGACUUUGGUGCCAUAGGCCUUGGAUGGCACGGCUCAGGCAGUGGUGGUGACACCAUAGACCUCGUCGCGGGUGGCCACUACGGUGGUUCCCGUGGUGGAAACUUGUGGUGGUGGUGCUGCUCCACUUAUUGUCACAUUUAGCCUGGAUCGGCAUGGUCCCAUCUCUUGAAUAUUUGAAUUUUCACUUGUUGAAUUUUCUUGGAUGCGAGAGUCUUCUACGAGUGUGGGACUUAUCUCUCAAUGAAAGCACCAAUUUAUGGAUGCAAAUUUCUUCCUCCUUGAUCUUGGACAAAAUUGCACGUACAAAACAAUUAACACCUUUGGUUAAGGCUGAUAGGAUCAUAUUUAUGCGACUUAGUUAGCUUGUUUCUUGGCAUUUAUGUUGUUAGUUCAUAGUUAUUUUAGUAUUUUAAGCUAUUUUCGUGUGUUUGUAGGUCCAAAGGGUUAAUGUGGCAAAGAAGUGCAUUUUAGAGCAUUUUGGAGCAUUUUUGGGCAUGGAAUGGAUAGCAUAUGCUUGAAGCAAAAGGAAUGGACAAAAUUUGAAGUUUGUGCAUCAUCCUCUCCUUAUAAAUAACCAUUUUAGCACACUCAUUUCACCCAACACAUUCACCUACCACUACAUCCAGUCAUUACAACCACCCAACACAUUCACCUACCAUUACAUCCACUCAUUUCACCCACCCAACACAUCCAUUCACCUACCACUACAUCCACUCAUUCCACCCAACACAUUCACCUACCACUAAGGUAUUAAAUAUCGGUAAUAUCGGUAGUCUGAAAACACGGAAAUAUCGAUGGAAAUAUCGGGAUAAUAUCGAUAUCGAUAAAAAUUACAUGGAAACCACGAAAAUUGUAAGAAAAACUUGGAAAUUUUUAUUGAAACUUUGCAGGAUGUUUAUUUAGUCAAUUAUCUAUUAGUUUAUCACAAAAAUUUGGAAGGAAAUGCAUUGCAUGAUGGAUUAACAUUAUCAAGUUGAUUAUAUAACGAGCUGACAAACAUUGUGAGUGUAGAAAAUAUGUAGUAAUUAAUGAAAGAAAUCUAAACACACCAUAAUCAUUUAUAUAUAAUGAAUUAGUGCAAUAUUUUACACUUUAUACAUUGCAUGGUAAGAUACAUGAGUGACUUAGUACCACAUAGAGUUCCUAUGAGGUUCAAAUUUUUCACUAUCUUUAUCAUCUCUAUGUGUAGAAUGAGUGUAUUGUGAAGAGUAGUUAUCAAAUGAUAAAUCUCCAAAAUAGUUUUGCAUGUAAUUGUUAACAUGCCACCCAUAUGGAUCCGAGAUUGGUUGACGUUGUCCAUAAGCAAAAUCAUUUGAAGAUUGAGUCUCGGAUUGUUUCCAUGAGUCGCUCGAUUCCAUUCCAACAGGAAUGGGAUAUGAAGGGUAGGGAAAUGGUUGGUUAUGAGUAUUACCAUAGUUACUAUUUCCCACUCCAACAUAGUCCGAAGUUCUAGAUAACGAGUCAUUUUCUUGACUUGACAAAAUCCCCUUGUCUCUUUCUUUACGAGUAUAGUCCUUCCCUAUGGCACCAAUUCCUGGUCCUGCCCGCCUACUGCCAUGGUCAUCAUCUUGUGUUGCAUGCGUGAAGUUUGCCUCACUAGUGAAGGGGCUCAUAAAUCCGAGAGGUGGUCCAACAUAGUUUCUAUAUCCACCACCACUACCUCCAGCUCCACUAUAUCCUUCAUCAUUCACACCUCCGGUGGUAGGUGAGUAUCCUGAUCUUGUACUAGAGCUAUCAUUAGUAUCAGCACGAUGUUGUGGUUGUGUAGGAUUGGAAGAAGAUGGAAUUCCAGUGUUUCUUGGUCUUGGGCGCAAAAGUUCUUCCAAAGAGUCAACGCUGCUAGAUCCUACCUCCUCCUCUAAUACUCUUUCUACAUUUAUCCCUUCAUUAUGUGCUUCUUCAGCAACUUUGGGAGCUGGGUUGCCUUCAUCAUCAUCUAAAUGAAGAGGUCUAAUCCAUUGAUAAAGUUGGUUACCCUCUGUAUCAUCAUCUUUACCAACAAUAUCAAACACAUCUAGUGGGUCACCACGGUCGACAUGAUCUAUUUCUGCUUCCUUAUCUCGAAUUUGAAGCUUCAUGUUGUAGUAGCAAUAAACUAAUUUUUCCAACCUACUAUGAGCCAACCUAUUUCUUUGCUUUGUGUGUAUGAGUGCAAAUGUGCUCCAAUUUCUUUCACUAGCAGAUGAGGAAGCUGUUUGUGAUAGUACUUUGAUUGCUAACUUUCUCACAGUUGGUGCAUCGGUCUCAUACAUGAUUUACCAUUCAGCUACAAUGAAAAGCAAUGUUGAUAAGCCUAAUAACUCCAACAAAUUCUAUUAUAAACUUAUAGUGAAAUAUGUUUACACUCACUAGGAGACAUUGUUGUUCGAGCAGCAAUUGAUGUUGGUUCUUCAAAAGUUCUUCUUGCAUCUUUAAACCAUGUUAGCUGAAUUCAAUAAAUCGUGUUAGUUUAAUCCAACAAAGUAAUUAUUAUAAUUUAAGUAAUUGUGUACCUCAUUUCCAAAUUGGCUAACUGCUGGUGAUGCAGGGUCUAAUUUAGAGUAUACAUUAUGUACAGCACGUAUAAGGGUACCAUCAUCUCCAACACCGGGUUUAUAUUGGUAUCGAGGAUUCAAAUAAUAUGCUGUUCAAAGAAACACAUACUCUAAUAAGAGAAAUAAUACUUAUGCAACUAAAGAAAUGAAUUGCAAAUUAUGACAUAAUUUAUACCUGCUGCAUGCAAAUCGUGGUAUAAUGUUUUAUACCAUCGGUCUUCAAUUAUCUUUAUGACCCACCUUGCACCAUGUUUUCUUUCCAAUUCAUCCUUCACUACACGCAUCAACUCAUAUACUGCCCCCAUAGUAGGAUACACUUCUGUGUCAAUGAUCCGUAAAACUUUGUAAAGAGGUUCAAACACUUGGCACACAUGUUCUGAUUGAGUCCAAAAAGCAUGAUCAAGCACUAUACUUUCCACCAUACGACCUGCAUUUGAGCGGCUCAAAUUGUGGUUGGCCCAAUCGUCACUAGUGAAUAGUUGCUUCAACCCUGCUUUCUUCUUAAGUAGGCUGUCUAAUGCAAUAUAGUUGGUGGCGAAUCGAGUGGUAGCUGGACAAAUAAUUUCUCCUUUGCAUAAUUCACGCAUCUUUGCCAACAACCAACUGUGAUUGUAAAUAUAAUUUGUGAUCGUUAUAGCUCUUUUUACCACAGUAGCAACAUUCUCUCUCUUCCCCAUUGCCUCAAACAUGAGAUCAAUACAAUGUACUGCACAUGAUGUCCAAAACACAUUAUGAUGCUUCAUUAACUUUUUUCCAGCUUUGACAAAUGCAGAACCGUUGUCGGUCAUGACUUGGACAACAUUAUGCUCUGCCACCUCCAUGAUUACAUCACUCAAUAAUUUGUAAAUAUACUUGUAGUUCUUUAUAUGGUCUGAAGCAUCAACAGACUUCAAAAAAAUUGUCUUUCCCUUGGAGUAUACCAUGAAGUUUAUGAUAGACAAUCUGGUCGGGCCAGUCCAUUUGUCACAUAUGAUUGUGCAACCAUUAGUUUCCCACUUUGACCUCAACUUGUUAACAUACUCGCCAAUGUCUUUAUACUCCAUAUCCAAAAAUUUGUUUCUUAUCUCAUAGGGAGUGGGAGGUUGUACUCCAACACCGGCCUGUUGACAUCCCACUACCAUAUUUUUGAAAUGCUGUGAUGAUGCUUUCUCAGCAGGGACAUUUUCAUAGAUAAAGAACUUGCUAAUUAGACGCCCCCUUCCCUCCUUCACAUUACCUCCAGUGAAAUAACUCCAAACACUCUUUUGACGUGCUUUGGAUGACUUAUAUAAACUUGGGGCUAUUGGUGGUGUUGGUUGUGAUUCUCUAAGACUGCUCCCCGUCUCAUUUGUGCACCACCACUUGUCCUGGAACCUUAUGCUCUAUUAGGAAUUUUAUGAAGGUGUUCUCUUUCCCAUGCUGACUAUUUGGAGGCACGUAAUGCUUGUUUCAAACUGCGUCGUUCUUCAGGUCCCAUGUCAUCAUCACAUUCGUCCUCAUCGUCAUCAUCGUCACUGUCAACCGCUUGGCCAAUGACUUCUCCUCGUAGCCUAGCUCGAAUAUUUUCCAUUCCAUGUGUUAUCUUUUCCUUCUGCUGUUUUUUAUUUUUUUAUCCAUUAUCGCAUCAUUGGACAUUUUUUGCUGGAUCUAAUCCACUAAGAUGGUACUUAAGUCGUGUCACUCCGCCACUCUUCAUUACUCGACCACAAUAUUUGCAAAUUGUGCCAUGUUUGUUUCCGUCUAUUGGGUCUCUAUGUUCCCAAGCUGGAUCACGUUUAGUAACUCCACUGGACAUCUUAAAUGUACCUAUAUUUAUUUUUCAUGAAAAUUAGACAAUUAUUUUUUGGCCAAAAAAUAUAGUAGUGAUGACGGUUAUAUAAGAGAACCUAAAUAAUAAUGAAUAAUAAUCCAAUUUAAUAAUAAUCCAAUUCAAUGAAUAAUCCAAAUUGAUAAUAAUCCAAUUUAAUGAAUAAUCCAAUUUAAUGAAUAAUAAUCCAAUUUGAUAAUAAAAAAACCUAAUAUUAAUGAAUAAUAAUCCAAUUUGAUAAUAAAACCUAAUAUUAAUAAAAUAAUAAAUAACAUUAAACAUAUUAAAAUUAUCCUAGGGAAUAAUUAUACAACAUUACUUAAUUACUUAAAAAAAUUAACAUGUAAUUGUUAACAUUACUUAAUUACUUACAAAAAUUAACAUGCAAGUAUUAAUUACUUAAAAAAAUUAACAUACGAGUCCACACAAAUUUAUUUGUUGUUGUAUAAAUUACAAUAAUAUAAAUAUAAGUUUGUAAACUUACCUUAAAUAUGGAACCCUUUGUGUUCAAGCUUUGGAAUGGAUCUGGAAUGGCUUUGAAAAUGGUAAGGGAAGAAGAAGAAACGAAAAUGCUCUGAAUGCCUCUGAUACUCCACCUCUAAUAAGGUGAAAGAAUAUAACAGACAAUGGCUCACUGUUUUGAAUGUGAAAGAAUAUCACGGACUCACAGUGGCACAUGGUUUCAUUAUGAAAGCACUAUUAUUUGUUGUCCAUGGUCUGAAAUUGCCAAAAGUUAUUGUAAAAUCAGUCAGGUGAGUCAGAUAAGAUAACCCAACCACACACACACAGAGACAUGCCACCACACACGCACAUUCACUUCACACGCAUACAGUCUCUCUUUCUCGAACCUUCUCUCUUCUGAGUCUUCUCUGAGCUCCCUUCUCCCCCUUUUCCAUUCUCCCGCACACACAGAUCUCCCACACACACGCACAGAGACCCAAGGUCUCUCGAUCAUUCUCCCACACACACGCACAGAGACCCACAUUGCCUUCUGCUUCUCCCUCGUCGGCGCCGUCUCUCUCAUUUCUCUCUGCACCGAAGGUCCGAGACCCACAUACAAACACGCACACCCAUCAUCAUCAUCAUCAGCAACCUCGUCUUUCUCCCUCUCCUUCUCGUCUCUGCACCAAGGGUCCGAUACCCACAUACACACACGCACACCCAUCAUCAUCAUCAGCAACCUCGUCUUUCUCCCUCCCCCUCUCCUUAUAUGUGAAAUUUAAGUUCAAAAUCGUGUUUUUGCAAGGUUUUUCGGACGAAAUCGGCUAGGGAAUAGGCACACCCAUCUUCGGCGAGGUCGUGGGUGUCGACGAAGUUUUCGAACACCUCCGACCGUUUCACGGCAAACGGAAUAUAUAAAAACGUUCAUCUCGUCUUCUAUUUCAUUUUCAUACCUAGAUCGAAGUCUAGGGUCUUGUUUUACAAUCGGCCGGAGCUGUAGAAGCUCCGGUGUUCUUCUCCGAGUGCCCAAUUCUAAAUCUAUCGCGAUAAUUUUGGAAAUAUUGCGAUAUUAUCACGAAAACCAUUUGGAUAGUUACAAAAAUAUCGGUACCCUUAAAAACCGAUAAUAUCGGUGAUAUAUCGCCGAUAUUAUCGGCAUUUUGUUCCUUGCUUACCACUACAUCCACUCAUUUCACCCAACACAUCCAUUCACCUACCACUACAUCCACUCAUUUCAACCACCCAACAACACUCACCCACUACACCCAUUACAUCCACUCAUUACAACUCCAUACACUCAUCUCCCUAGCCUAUAAAUACAUCCACCCUUCACCAUAACUAGAGACCCAUUCAAAAAGACCUUACAUUCAUCCAUAUAUUCCCACAUCCCACAAACACAUACAAUUCCAUUCCCUUGUCGUGGCACUCAUCCAACCAAAAAUAGAACACAAUCCACCUAUCCACCCUUCACCAUAACUCACCUAUAUCCAUCCACCACCAUAAUUUACCACUCAUCCAUCAAACCACACCUUGUGCCGUAACAAAGAGAAGAAGGAGAACCCUUGGACGUGCUUGCCAUUCAAGUUGGAUUGUUGGAGCAUUUUUAGGUGUUUUCAUUCUUUUGUUUUCAAUGUCUAAAUUUGUUUAUCUUUGCUUUGUGAGUAUGAAGAACUAAACCCCCCUUGGCUAGGGGGGAAUUCGAUACCUUGUUCAUGCUUGCAAUAUGAUUUGAUUACCUUCAGUUGUGAUUUCAUAAGUUGUUAAUUCAAUUUGUUUAAUUGCUUGAUUGAUAACUUAUUCGUGUAUGUUUAUUAAGAGUGGACACUUAGUUUGCAUGCAUGAAUAUGAUGCUAGAGUAUAAGGGAGUUUCACCUAAUAGUUACAAACUUAUAUUUACAAGCAGUGGAGGUCGCUUAUAAACGAUCGCAUUAAAUAAAUUCUUGGCAGGAGUUUCAUGCUCAUCAUAGUAAAGAAUGCCUCGUCAAUACUUAUAGUUUUCAUAAUGCUUAAUGAUCUUUGAUUGUAUCUUUAUUGUGCUGUUCAUGUAAAGAACUUUUGAAGAAUGCUUGAAUUGUUGUAUGCGCUUUCCCAUCCAAUUCAAUAACUUAAGGAGAACUUGAAGGCUAAUUUAAGCGGACUUAAUUAACCUGGGGUGUUGAGUUUCAUGAUUGAUCGAAAGAACAACUAAAAAUUGGUUUAUGUGCAAGUAUGUCAUGUGUGGAGAAGAACCUCCUAGCUAGCCUCUCAUCCAUUCAAUUUACUCAAAUUCAUGCAGAUUUCAUUAGUUCUUUAAUUUACUUAUUUUGUUUUCAAAUUUGUCAAAACCAAAACCCCUUUUACUUUAAAGUGUUUUAUUAGUCAAAAUCUGUUUUGAUUUGUGUUUUUAGGUGUCCUAAAAGUGUGUUAGAGUCCAAAUCUGCCCAGUUUGUGUUUUUAGGCAGAUUUGAGCGUUUUUACCUUGUUUUGAGUCCUUUGAGUUUGUUUUAAGUUCUUUGAGUCUAGUUUAGUGUUUUUAACUUUGUUUAUAUGUUUUUAAGUCAGUUUAGAGGUUUUAGCAAGCCCUCCUAAUCCCCGGUUUAGAACAAUCCCUACUUGCAUUUAUACUACAAUUUGACAACAAGAGGGUUUAAUUUGAGUGCUUAACUUUCAUCGCAUCCAAAUAUUUGGCACCGUUGCCGAGGAUUAGCAACUUUGCUAAUCCCCCGUUGUUUCUUUUUCAUUUUUUUUUGUUUUAGUUACUGACUUUGUUUCUAUUUGUGUCUUUUAUUUUACUUAUGAUAUCUGAUUUAGUUUUGUUUCCUUGAUUUCAAGUACUAGAGAAGUAAUACAUGGAUUUUGCUACCAUUCAAGCUCAAUUGGCAAAACUUACUUCUCAAUUGUCACAAUAUGCCGAAAGGACCACAAUGCAAAGUGUCCCUACAGAUGGUGUGUCCUAUGGGCAAGGAUAUCCAACUCAUCAAUGUUCUCAAUAUGAAGAUGCUUGGGGUUAUCAAGGCCAUAGCCAAUCAGGGGACAACAUGUUUUCCAACGCUUACAAUUUGGAUUGGAGAGAUUAUUCAGAUUACAUGUGGGGAGAACCUCAACAAUUCCAACAAGAUGUGUAUUGGCAGCAAGAAGAGGAAUUCUAUUCAAGACCUAUGCAGCCACCACAACAAUCUACCCAAUUCAAUUCAAGUACGUAUUUGGAUAAUGAUAUGUUUAAUAAGUUACUCACCUCUUUGAACCAGGAAGUAUAAAAUGGAAACAAAGAGAUGCAAAAUCAAGCCAAGAAGACGGGAGAAUUGGAGAAGCAAAUUGGACAGAUUAUGGAGUUCAUGGCAUAAAUUCAAGAGCAAAGUGAACUCUCCAACUCAACUAUUGAAAAUUUGAAGGAAGAUUUUGAAAUCCAUAAUGCUAUCACUUUGGGAAGUGCUAUGGAGGUUGGAGGUGAACCGAAAACGUCCAAACCAAGCCAAAACAUGGAUGAACAACUGCUGUUCGAAGAAGAGGAGAAUAACAAGGCCACGGCAAGGGAAGAACCACCCUUUCUGCAGCCCCAUAUGCCCUUUAUGCCGUCCACUACAACCAAGGUAAGCCUAAAUUCAAUUUGUCCUAACCCUGUUUCACCAAAUGUCCUUAUUCCUUGCAGGAUCAUGCAAUCCAAGGAAGAAGAGGGUGAGAAAGGCAUAUUCGAAACCUUUCCAAAGAAUCAAAAGCAAGAAGUGGAUGGGGAAUGUCUAGAAUUCAUCAAAGAAGAUACACUUGAGACGAAAAUUCCCAAAGAAGUUGGAUUUUAUGACACGGGAAAAGUCAUAACUCUCAAAACACCAGAUCUGGCCAAGUCCCAUAUCCUUGCAACCUUCAAAGAUGUGGUGUUCGUAAUUGAGUUUGUGUUGGAGCAAGCAAGUAAACCAUCUUCUCCAACUUCGAUUUUAUUAUAUACUAACUUGCUGAUUUUGAUGAUUCAGGCACCUACACUAGAAUUUAAACCAUUGACAGAUCACGUCAAGUAUCACCUUCCAUUCAAGGAUCAAUUCCAUGCUAUGGGCCCUAUCCAAGUUUAGAAAGAAGUUUCGUCCGGCUGGAAGACGUUAAAGCAAGCGCUUCUUGGGAGGCAACCCAUGUAUUCAAAUAAGGAAGAUUUUUGAAUUGCUUCACAAUCAGUUUUGCAUUUCUAAAAACCUUCCCUUUUCUGCAGUUUUAUUUUGCCAUGAUUGUCAUUUUUAUUUGUUGCUUGUUUAAUUGUUUUUCGUGUGGGUUUAUUUUUGAAACAUUAACAAUUAUGCAAGGUAUUUUUACAUUCAUUUUCAUGAAAAAAAAGAACAUUAAGCAGAAAAUACAAGAGGGAGCCUUCAAAAAGCCUGCUUAGGAGAAGUCUCAGUAGUCGGCGGAGCCCCAGAAGGAGGAGGCAUCGGAGGUUGAUCAUUUGGAGCUUCAUUACGCGGUAUAGCCCCAGAAGACGAAGGUAAAUGUUGUUGGAACAAACCCACAAACAUUUGAUGAUCAAGUAAAAUCUGACCAUCAGAUUCCUACAUCUGGUUAAUCUUCCUCUUCAUGUUUGUAGCAUAGUUAUGUGCGAGCUUAUGUAGCUGUUUAUUCUCAUGCUUAAGCCCUCUAAUCUCCUGUUUGAGACUCAUCACUUCAGCCGCCAAUGAUUCAACUUGACGGGUUCGAGCAAAUAGGCGUUGGGCCAUAUUAGACACAGAACCUGCGCACUGCAUAUUGAGAGCCAGAGAAUCCUUAACAGCCAACUCAUCAGACCGUUUGGCAAGUAGUCUGUUAUCUUUGGGAGUGACAAGGUUCUUAGCCAUCAUCGCAGCUGUCAUAUCAUUCUUCAUCACCGAAUCCCUAACGGUAAGGGGACCAGUAGGGGAUAUGAAGGAUGGGCGCCAUAUGUUGUCUGGAGAAGGCGGGACUGCCUCUUCACCAAGGUUUAAGUCAAACCAACGGUCGGAGGGGCCAGACAUUUUCAGAGGUGUUAAAGAAAGAAGAGGUCAGACAAGUCAAGAUCGUCGAAGUGCAAGAAGGGAGUUUCUACAGGCAGAAAUUCAAGUGUGCUUUGAACGUCCUGCGUACCUCUAUAAAAAUGAGCACUUGAUGGGAUUUCAGAGAUUGAAGAGGCGAGCUCAGAAAUCGAAGAGGCCAACUCAAAAAUCAAAGAGGCACUAGCUUUCUCAAAAGCUGGGCUUGCUCAGAAACCACGACCAAUCUUCUUUUCCAGAUUUGUCCAGAUUUGUCACAUGCAACCUCUGCACUCGACGGGAUUUCAGAAAUCGAAGAGGUAAGCUCAGAAAUCAGAGAGGCAUCUGCUUUUCCAGACGUGUCAGCAUCUGUCACAUGCAGAGUCAGCUUUACAAAAAUCACGGGCAGUUUUUCGAAGCGCCGAUUCCAGAUCUCGGAGAGGCAUCUGCUUUUCCAGAUGUGUCAGCAUCUGUCACAUGCAGAGUCAGCUUUGCAGAAAUCAUGGGCAGUUUGUCGAAGCGCUUUUCCAGACGUGUCAGCAUCUGUCAUAUGCAGAGUUAGCUUUGCGGAAAUCACGGGCAGUUUGUCGAAGCAUCGAUUCCAAAUAUCGAAGAGGCACUUGUUUUUCCAGACAUGUCAGCACUUGUCACAUGCACACUCAGCCUUGCGAAAAUUACGGGCAAUCUGUCGAAGAUCUCUUAUGAAGUAGAAAGCACGUGAAGUUUACUAUUAAAUCAUCCAACGGUUGCUGGCAAUAGUGAAACAAUAGUACCGGUUAUUAAUUCAUAUAAAUGUCACCCUUCACCUUUCAUUGCAAGGCAUGCAUACAUAACCCUUCUUCUUCUCCAAGAAUGCCUUUCCAAUAAACCCUCUCAAGUCACUCAGUGUUCCUUAUUCCUUGGGGUACCUCUUCAAACAACUCAUCCAAAGCAAAAGUAUUUCAUAUCAUGAAGGUUGAAAGCAAAAGUAUCUCAUAUCAUGCUUUCUCCUUGUCAUUCUUCUUGUCGUUGUUUUGGGACAAGGAGAAAGAGAGCAAUCAGCUAGCACUUGGUAUCAAUCUUCCGAUUUGGAACCAACUGCCUGGAACCCCUUCCUGAUUGCUUACCUAGCCUUGCUCUCAAGUACUCAUCUUCAUCAUUUUAUGCUUCCUCUUCGUCUACCACAUCUGCCUGGGGAACAGAUAAGGGAAGUGAAAAUGAUACCUCGAAGCAUGUGGAGACAAUUUGCCAAUUCAUCCUCAGCUAGGGACAAGGAGAAAGAAAGCAAGAGGUGGGCACUUGGAAAGAUUGAAGAAAGAAACAGACCAACACCUUGACCUCGUGCCUGCCUGCCGUGCAGAAGAAACAAGCAGAGAAGAAUGCAGACUGCACAAUCAAAUCAACCCAGCAGAAGGAGUCUGAUUUGAAACCAAGGAACUCUGAUAUUCCUCACUCAGAAUUCCAAACCAGUUCGAGAUCAAAGCUGUGGAAAGUCAACAAGAUCAUCUAUCUCCAAAACCAGAUUUGCGUUCUUAAACUCUACUUUGUCUGUUUUUUUUUUACUUUGCUAUACUUGUCAUGUUUAUUCAUUGUUUGUUUAUUUGCUUGUUUUUGUGUGAGUUUAUGCUUGAAACAUUGAGGACAAUGUUUGAUUUAAGUGUGGGGGGGGGGGUAACCAUUGUUUUGCAUGAAAUUCGUAGGAGUUUAUCACCCAUUACUUCUAGUGUUGUUCCUUGCUGUUUUUAAGUGUUUUUAAGCUGUUUUGGAGUGUUUUAGUGUGUUUUGACAUAAAAAUCCGAAAAUCUCAUAAAAAUUUGAAAAAUUGUUUUGAAAACCCAAAAAUAGUUGUUUUUGUAUGUUUAUUUGUGUCUUAGGGUACCUUCCAACACAAUGAUGAGGAUUUGGUUUUUAAUUACAUGACUGUUAAAGAGAGUUAUAAACAUGGAUGAAAAUUUGAUUUACUCUUUGGUGUAUGCUUGGUUGUGGUUAUAAUUUAUGAAUUCACAUGCAAUCAUAAAGGAAAAAUCAGUUUUGUAACAUGCUUGAAAGAAGGAACUCAAAUGUACGCUACAACCUUGUGAGACUUGAGCCUAAAUGUUUAUUUGGAGAGUUAAUAUUCUGUGCAUCAUUGUUUUCUAAAGUCGUUGCAUGAUCUCAUUAUUCUUUACUUGGUUGCUACUUAGAAGACGUUUCAUCAUUUAGUUCCAAAUGCUAGAACUCAUGCCUAUUUCAUUCAAAGCAUGUUAUUGAUUUGCAUAACACAUAUUCAAGAUGAAGUUGUUUAGUGAGCCAAGAGCCAAAAAGCCUAUCUCGUUCAUUAUGUGUUUAAGUUUAAUCCCAUUGAGCCUUGUGUAGCCUAUGUUCUUUGUUACCCACACUAUCCUCACCUAGCCUAGAUUAGGACCAUUCAUACCCUUGUUCUUGAAGCAUAGUAAAGCAUAGUUUAGAAAGAAUUCCUUUUGUUGAACUCUUGCAGAAAAACAAGUGUGGGGGAAGUGAUUCUUGUGUGUGUGUGUAUGCCAAAGUCCUUCAUAAGGCACGGGUAGAAAAGAAAAAGAAAAAGAAAAAUUCGUGGAAAAUGAAAUGAAAAGAAAAGAAGUUGUGAAAAGAGUUGAAAAAUAUAUGAGAAAGAACUCUAAAGUGUUGUUUGUUGAAGAAAUGGUCCAAAGCAUUGAAUUCGACCCUAAGUGUUGCAUGAAUCUUCCCUUUGUGUUUAAAAGUUGAUUUUUGCAUUCUAAAGUAAAUUCCAAGUGUUGAUUCCAUUACUUUGCUUGCUAUUGCUUAAGAACGUUUGUUAUCCCUAUCCUUUCUUUGUUAGCCAUUACCCCCAAGUCCCAUUACAACCCUUAACUUCAUCUUGAGUGUUAUGUGUUUCAAUAUGUGGAAUUUGGAAUUGGUAUGAGCAUAUGGUGUCACCGAUUCUCGCAUCUAAGUAGUAGCGUUCCAUUCAUGAGAUCAUAUCUAAACAUGCUGAAUAACUCCAGAAAAUUGCCCUCUUUGUUAUACAUAUAUGUGAGUGUUCCUUUUCAUGUUUACAUCAAUCUUCUCACAUAUAACUAGUGUAGGGUGUGUAGUUAGAAAAUGUGUGUGAAAAUAGAUAGUAUCUUGUAAGGAAUUGAGUAAAUUCUCUAAGGAAUGUUACUACAUUCAAAACAUCGUUUUAAUUGGUUAAUUGUGAACUAGUAAGUGGUGACUAUAAGUAUGUGCUCAAGUGUAAGGAUGACCAAAAUCUGUGGGAAUGAUGAUUUUUAACAUGUCAUAUUUCAUUAAAAACCCCUGAGGCAAUUGUUGGAAGGUCUAGGUUGUGUUUUGUUUUGUUUUGCUCGAUGACUAGUAAAAGCUAAGUGUGGGGGAAUUUGAUAGGAGCAUAUUUAUGCGACUUAGUUAGCUUGUUUCUUGGCAUUUAUGUUGUUAGUUCGUAGUUAUUUUAGUAUUUUAAGCUAUUUUCGUGUGUUUGUAGGUCCAAAGGGUUAAUGUGGCAAAGAAGUGCAUUUUGGAGCAUUUUUGGGCAUGGAAUGGAUAGCAUAUGCUUGGAGCAAAGGAAAUGGACGAAAUUUGAAGUUUGUGCAUCAUCCUCUCCCUAUAAAUAACCAUUUUAGCACACUCAUUUCACCCAACACAUUCACCUACCACUACAUCCACUCAUUACAACCACCUAACACAUUCACCUACCACUACAUCCACUCAUUUCACCCAACACAUUCAUUCACCUACCACUACAUACCACUACAUCCACUCAUUACAACCACCCAACACAUUCACCUACCACUACAUCCACUCAUUUCACCCAACACAUUCAUUCACCUACCACUACAUACCACUACAUCCACUCAUUACAACCACCCAACACAUUCACCUACCACUACAUCCACUCAUUUCAACCACCCAACAACACUCACCCACUACACCCAUUACAUCCACUCAUUACAACUCCAUACACUCAUCUCCCUAGCCUAUAUAUACAUCCACCCUUCACCAUAACUAGAGAUCCAUUCAAAAAGACCUUACAUUCAUCCAUAUAUUCCCACAUCCCACAAACACAUACAAUUCCAUUCCCUUACCGUGGCACUCAUCCAACCAAAAAUAGAACACAAUCCACCCAUCCACCCUUCACCAUAACUCACCUAUAUCCAUCCACCACCAUAAUUUACCACUCAUCCAUCAAACCACACCUUGUGCCGCAACAAAGGGAAGAAGGAGAACCCUUGGACGUGCUUGCCAUUCAAGUUGGAUUGUUGGAGCGUUUUUAGGUGUUUUCAUUCUUUUGUUUUCAAGUCUAAAUUUGUUUAUCUUUGCUUUGUGAGUAUGAGGAACUAAACCCCCCUUAACUAGGGGGGAAUUCGAUACCAUGUUUAUGCUUGCAAUAUGAUUUGAUUGCCUUCAAUUGUGAUUUCAUAAGUUGUGAAUUAAAUUUGUUUAACUGCUUGAUUGAUAACUUAUUCGUGUAUGUUUAUUAAGAGUGGACACUUAGUUUGCAUGCAUGAAUAUGAUGCUAGAGUAUAAGGAAGUUUCACCUAAUAGUUACAAACUUAUAUUCACAAAUAGUGGAGGUCGCUUAUAAACGAUCGCGUUAAAUAAAUUCUUGGCAGGAGUUUCAUGUCCAUCAUAGUAACGAAUGCCUCGUCAAUACUUAUAGUUUUCAUGAUGUUUAAUGAUCUUUGAUUGUAUCUUUAUUGUGCUGUUCACGUAAAGAACUUUUGAAGAAUGCUUGAAUUGUUGUAUGCGCUUUCCCAUCCAAUUCAAUAACUUAAGGAGAACUUGAAGGUUAAUUUAAGCGGACUUAAUUAACCUGGGGUGUUGAGUUUCAUGAUUGAUCGAAAGAACAACUGAAAAUUGGUUUGUGUGCAAGUAUGUCAUGUGUAGAGAAGAACCUCCUAGCUAGCCUUCCAUCCAUUCAAUUUACUCAAAUUCGUGCAGAUUUCAUUAGUUCUUUAAUUUAUUUGUUUUGUUUUCAAAUUCGUCAAAACCAAAACCCCCUUUACUUUAAAGUGUUUUAUUAGUCAAAAUCUGUUUUGAUUUGUGUUUUUAGGUGUCCCAAAAGUGUGUUAGAGUCCAAAUCUGCCCAGUUUGUGUUUUUAGGCAGAUUUGAGCGUUUUUAGCUUAUUUUGAGUCCUUUGAGUUUGUUUUAAGUUCUUUGAGUCUAAUUUAGUGUUUUUAACUUUGUUUAUAUGUUUUUAAGUCAGUUUAGAGGUUUUAGCAAGCCCUCAUAAUCCCCGGUUUAGAACGAUCCCUACUUGCAUUUAUACUACAAUUUGACAACAAGAGGGUUUAAUUUGCGUGUUAAGUUAAUUUUCGCAUCAACCAAAAGCCUCAUGCGCCCACGAUGAAUGAGGGGGGGGAGGGACUUCGACCGAAGAACCUUCGAUGUUAAAGUUAGAAUUUAGAGAGAAAGUAUUUGAGAAUUUUAGCAAGAGAGUUGAAAGUAGUUUUUGGAGAGAAUGGAGAGCUAUUUAUAGGGAUAUGGUUGGCCCUAUUAGGAGAAUAGGGAACGGCUAUUUGGGGUAUUUUUUUGGGUGUAAUUUGUGGUUAAUUAGCCAUUAAUAGAUUAAUUAGGUAAUAAAUCCAUUAAUGGACUAAUUAACAUCAUUUGAAAGAAAUAAUUUGGGAGUUAUGGAAUAAUUAUCUAAUCAAUUAGCUAAUUAAUAGAACAAUUACCUAAUUGAUUAGCAAAUCAAUACAAUAAAAAGGGGAAGAUUUGGUGAGUUACCUUGUGGAGAGGAUUGGAUGAGGAUGGAUGAGAUAGGUUUUAAAUGGUUUACCUAUUUUGGGCAUUUUUGACUUGGUUGAGUGAUGAUUGCAUGCUGCUCGCGUGUAGGAAUCUUGGUAUGCCUCGAGGAUAAUUUUGUCUUUUUAUCAAAAAAUCCAUGUGUCGCCUAGUGAUUAUUUUUGGCUCCACAACAAGUUAAUUAUAUUUAUCUACCUAUAUGACAGAUUAUUUUUUAUAAUCAACCUAUCACAUGCAAAUUAAUGUGUCUUACUUGUCUGUAUAUUAUGUUUUUCUACCUUUCAGUUAGGUUUCAUAUCUUGCUUCUAGGUAUAACAUACAUUCAUAUAUUUGUCACUGGAGUUAGUGUAGAAUGUUUUGCAGAUAGAUUUAUGUUAGUAUAUUAGUUUUUUUUGUUAUCAGAUAUUAAUUAGAUUUUUUGGAGUUGGAAAAUGCAUAAUAUUAGAAGAUUUUAAUUGAUUUUUAAUAUUUUUAGAAAAUAUAAAAUGAGUAUAAAAGAAUAAAACCAUGUAAUUAAAUAACUGGACUCACUCCUAAACACCAUCUAUGUUUUUGGACUUGGAUCUAAAAGUCCCUAAAUCUUAUAUAUCGUUCAGCAAACCUAGUUAAGGGAUUGGAAGAGACAAUUAAAAGGCCAUCAUAUUACAAGUAUACUAAAGCUCAGCUUAAAAACAUUGUGGUCUUCAUCAAUGGUGCUUUGAUCAUUUUGUCCCUGUUUCAAUCUUUCAUUUCUUUUUCAAUUUUCAUCAUGUAAAGUAAAAUUAAUAAAAUGCCCUUGUGGGACACAUUUGGGUUACGUGGACGCAAAAUCUUGUCCAGUACGUCUGAUGUUCUUCCCUUUUUUCAACAACUCUCACCUUCUGUGACCAAAACCAACAAUUCAAUCCCCUUCUGAUUUGAUGAAAACUCUCGCAAGAGGUCUAGAACCUCUCCGGCCUUUCUCGAACUCUCUCUGUCGCACAAAGGAUUAGUUUUUUUUUCUUUCCAUUUUUUUAAUUUUUUGGUCAUUUUUCGAUUGAAACCCUUACUAUUGUGAUAUCGAAGAAAUCCUAGCUCUUUGUCCCGUCUCUUCUAGUUAAGAAAAAGUGAAAAUUUUCAGAAUAUCGAAAUUGAUUUCGAAAAUUGGAGAAUUACGUUAAGGUUUCAAAUAAGGAGGUGCGGAUUCAAACCCUAAUUCAUGAUUUGUGUUCGUGAUCUUUGCGUUUCAUUCAAGGAGCUGAUGUUUCAUCGUAU